AACCUCCCGGGCCACCCGGCCUGCGGCGGAAUGUUGCGUUAAGGGAAAGGUCGUAGUUAAACCCUACAGCCACGCGAUCCUAAGUUUGCCACGAAUUGGCUCUCCCAAACCAAAUUGCGGGAUAAACUCCAUGGAGGGUGUCAGACCCGUGUGGACGCGUGUCAAUGCUGUGUGGGCUCGGCCUUUCCCUGAGAGUCGCGUUGCUUGAGCAUGCAGCGCUAAGCAGGUCGUAAACUCGAUCUAAGGCUAAAUAUUUCCACAGGACCGAUAGCAAACAAGUACCGUGAGGGAAAGUUGAAAAGCACUCUGAAGAGAGAGUCAAAAGACCGUGAAACCGCUCAGGGUAUAAGCCCAUGGUGAUUUGGAAGGCGAAACACAUGAUAAGGAGUGCUAUUUGACUUAGCGCUGUCCGUCUCGUGCACGCACUUGGGAGGUUAAGUGGUGUAGUACAUCGUCAAUACCCCUGCCGAUCGGGAGUUGGGUUGGGAGUUGGUGGCGGCGCGUGUCAAAGCGUGUCGUCUUCGGCUCUCGCUCUUCUCUUGCGAUCGACCGACCAGGAGGUGCAGAUGCGAGACUGUGUUAUCAGCCCACCACAACACGUUGUGAGGUCACCCACAGGCUCGACUGCCGAUUGCGCAUCCAUUCUCGGGCAGGCUGCGGCAGAGUCGUUACCAGGCAAGGUUCGGCGAUGCAGCUCUGCUCGGAGUGGGUCGGGCGGCGACUGAGUUCUGGUAUGAUCCUCCUGCGACGAGUUGUUUUCUGACCAGAACAGCGCGCCACGGUUUCACAUCUCGUGUUUCCGUGUGUACCAAGGGAAAUGCUUAUCCCCUUAAGGCGGUUUGUGCCCUCUGCAUGAGUUUAAUCAGCAAGGCCUCCGUCGCGUGCUGUAACUGCGUGGUGUAAAGUCCAAAGCCAUCGGUCACGUCUCGAAACACGGGCCAAGGAGUAUAGCAUGUGUGCAAGUCUAAGGGUUCCACAAAACCUGCAGGCGAAGUGAAAGCAACUUUGUGGCGGUGAUGUCUAUAUGGCUGACCCGUUAGUGUGAGUCUUAGGACUCGUGCUUAAGCAGAGCUGAUCCAGUCCGAAAGGCUGAUUGCUAAAUGGCUGGCGCAAGCUCCGGGCUCACGUAUAUCGCUGGUCUUCGGGCUGCGAUGUGAGCACCGUGGAGCACUCAUGCUAUGACCCGAAAGAUAGUGAACUAUGCCUGGCGAGGGCGAAGCCCCAGGAAACUGGGGUGGAGGCCCGUAGCCGUUGUGACGUGCAAAUCC
Molecule: ribosomal RNA, 1268 nt
Filed under: Jesogammarus hebeiensis
Lineage: Eukaryota; Metazoa; Arthropoda; Malacostraca; Amphipoda; Anisogammaridae
Description: partial 28S ribosomal RNA
Rfam family: Eukaryotic large subunit ribosomal RNA
Source: RNAcentral